This 262-nucleotide ribosomal RNA is filed under the name uncultured prokaryote. RNAcentral's name for it is "partial 16S ribosomal RNA". It matches the Rfam family "Bacterial small subunit ribosomal RNA", at positions 524 to 784 of the family's 1533-position model. The record is from RNAcentral.
UACGUAGGGUGCGAGCGUUGUCCGGAAUUACUGGGCGUAAAGAGCUCGUAGGUGGUUUGUCACGUCGUCUGUGAAAUUCCGGGGCUUAACCUCGGGCGUGCAGGCGAUACGGGCAAUACUUGAGUGCUGUAGGGGAGACUGGAAUUCCUGGUGUAGCGGUGAAAUGCGCAGAUAUCAGGAGGAACACCAAUGGCGAAGGCAGGUCUCUGGGCCACUACUGACGCUGAGAAGCGAAAGCAUGGGGAGCGAACAGGAUUAGAUA